AUAUUCUAUUUAGACUAUUUCCU
RNAcentral lists this transfer RNA (23 nucleotides) under Microtus tatricus. Its description in RNAcentral is "partial tRNA-Pro". The record is from RNAcentral. Lineage: Eukaryota; Metazoa; Chordata; Mammalia; Rodentia; Cricetidae.